AGCGAACGCUGGCGGCAGGCUUAACACAUGCAAGUCGAGCGGGCACUUCGGUGUCAGCGGCAGACUGGUGAGUAACACGUGGGAACGUACCCUUUGUUUCGGAAUAACGCUGGGAAACUAGCGCUAAUACCGGAUACGCCCUUUUGGGGAAAGGCUUGCUGCCGAAGGAUCGGCCCGCGUCUGAUUAGCUAGUUGGUGGGGUAAUGGCCUACCAAGGCGACGAUCAGUAGCUGGUCUGAGAGGAUGAUCAGCCACACUGGGACUGAGACACGGCCCAGACUCCUACGGGAGGCAGCAGUGGGGAAUAUUGGACAAUGGGCGCAAGCCUGAUACAGCCAUGCCGCGUGAGUGAUGAAGGCCUUAGGGUUGUAAAGCUCUUUUGUCCGGGACGAUAAUGACGGUACCGGAAGAAUAAGCCCCGGCUAACUUCGUG
RNAcentral lists this ribosomal RNA (433 nucleotides) under uncultured bacterium. Its description in RNAcentral is "partial 16S ribosomal RNA". It matches the Rfam family "Bacterial small subunit ribosomal RNA", at positions 29 to 507 of the family's 1533-position model. The record is from RNAcentral.